UGCCAGCAGCCGCGGUAAUACGGAGGGAGCAAGCGUUGUUCGGAUUUACUGGGUGUAAAGGGCGUCUAGGCGGGCUAAUAAGUCAGAUGUGAAAUCCUCCGGCUCAACCGGAGAACGGCAUUUGAUACUGUUAGUCUUGAGUUCGGAAGAGGAAAGCGGAAUUCCUGGUGUAGCGGUGAAAUGCGUAGAUAUCAGGAAGAACACCGGUGGCGAAGGCGGCUUUCUGGUCCGAUACUGACGCUGAAGCGCGAAAGUGUGGGGAGCAAACAGGAUUAGAUA
Molecule: ribosomal RNA, 279 nt
Filed under: uncultured bacterium
Lineage: Bacteria
Description: partial 16S ribosomal RNA
Rfam family: Bacterial small subunit ribosomal RNA
Source: RNAcentral